This is a long non-coding RNA of Gallus gallus (chicken), 2583 nucleotides long. RefSeq lists it as uncharacterized. The transcript has 6 exons. The record is from RefSeq and is a predicted model, not a curated record. NCBI's taxonomy places the organism in Eukaryota, Metazoa, Chordata, Aves, Galliformes, Phasianidae.
AUCUCCAACUGGACAUCACUCCUCUUGGAGCCCUUCUGUGAGCCCAGGAUACGGGAAUUGCAGACCUCACUGAUGUGUGUUGAAGACUGGCAGCCAGGAUAAUUUGCACUUGAAUGGGAGCUUCUACAAAUGCACGCCAGAAAUUCCAGUUGGUUGAAAUCAUAAUUCUCACUGCUACUGCUGCUGAUUACGAUGGAAAAAAUAACAAUUCUGACUGUGAACCUCUGAGGUCAUAUGGCUGAAGGAGGAGGAACUGGGAGUCAGGGAGGAAAAUUGCUUUCAGCUAAAGGGGCCUGCUUUCUCCAGAGUUCAUGCUCCCUGAAUAUCCUAUUUUAUCAAAGAAAGCUGCUGUGCCACAGGCUUGCAGUGGGAGUGAUUUCACGCCUCCUUCAGUCCUUCAGAGAUGCGGGUGGAAAAGGAACUGGGAGAGCUACUGCCUGGAACUUCAUCUGCUGAUGUGCUCUCUUUCUUGUGUUGUCUUCAAAUUUACUGAUCACUCCAUACACAUCAGGUAGCAUAUUGAAGACCAAGAAGCCAACUGGGACAAAGAACUGAUGGUGUUGUAUUCCAUGUACACCAUGUAAAAGGUGCUUGCCUCCUGAACAGCUUACUGCCCUGAUGAAAUAAAUUAUGUUAAAUAAAUUAACAGGCAACUCAGAUGGCUCAGUACAACAAGCAACAUGGAGCAGAGAAUAGCUACUUGUCUGUUAGAAAAUAUUUUAAACCUAAGUUGCAUAAAAUGUAUUUGUCCAUAAAGUGAUUUCCUGAAAUGUUAUGAGAAUAUAAAUUUGUUCUGAGUGCCAUGAAGAACAGUUGGCCUAACAUUCAAAGAGAUCAAACUAUUUUUUCUGCAGAUGAACUAAUUAAUUAAAAAAGAAAAGAAAAAAAGACAAGAGAAAAUGCUGACCUAUUUACUUAAGUCAAAGAGCAAUUAAAAAACUUGAAAAUGAUAAUAUAAUCAAAACAUCAAGUUUGGAAAUAACAGUUUUUAUGUAAUUUCCUUCUCAUUAUCACCUAAAGCAUGGGUUCAUCUACACUGGUUGUUUUCCCAGAUUUUACAGAUAUAACAAUCCAUCCACUUCUCUAUUUUGGAGAAUUAUUAAGUUUAUGUUAUUAAGUAUAUUACUAUAAUUAUAUUGUAUUAUAUUUAUAUUAUGUUUAUAUUAUAUUAUGUUAUCUAUUAAGUAAUUAUUACAUAAGUUUAUAUUAUUAAGUAUAAUUAAGAUUAUAUUUUGAAUGAACUGGAUACCUUGUUACAGUCUCUUAGGCAUUUUUAAGCCACUUUUCCUUGCAAAUAGCAAAGCCAGCAUUUGAGUUCCAGUAGGACAGCUCCACAGUACAAAACACUGAUCAAGUAUGAACUCAGAUUGACAAAUUAGAUUUGUUCAAAACAUUUUUUUCAGAUCAAUUUUGCACUGGUAGAUUUUAUGCUGGCCCCUUUCAUAUGUCUUCAUGACAAAUUUUGGCUGGAUUUUUCACAGAUGUUCAUCUUUUUUGGUGUUCCUUCCAGGACCCUGCACCCUUCCUCACAUAGAACCUCUGCAUUUUGUCUUUCAUUCUGGAUAUUUUCUUCAUCCAGACUUUUACGUCAUAUUGGUCAGCCCAUCAAGUUUUCCUUGAAGCUGUAGAUUAAGGUAGUAUUUCAGCAUCUCCUAGUUCUUAAGCUAUCAGACUUCUCCAAUUACUGUUACCAUCCAAGGAUUUAUUAUUUCUUCAGUCAGCUCAUACAGGAUCAGUGGUUGAAGUCUAGCUGACUUCAGUGGAGAGAUAGGUUUUCCAGCCUGGAACAAUAUAAAUAACAUAUUAUCAUAUCGUCCAGCAUGAUAAUUGCCUACAUAAUAUUAGAGAUAUCACUCACAGGGCCAUCACACUGCAUUGUUUCCACCUUGUCCUCUAUUUUGCACUCCCCCUAGCGUGUUCCUCCUUGAAGCUGUCCACACUGUCCUCCCCUCUGCUGCACACAGAUAACACCCAAAUUGACCAUACCACUAACAAAAUUGUCCUCUGAUACACAAAAGAAAAUGUAAUAAUCUUUAAAUCCUGGGCACUGUUUUUCUGUUUUUUGUGGAGAGAGCAUUCAUCAUCCCUGUUGUCAUACGUAAGGAAUUUCAACCCUACUGGCCAAAGCCACACAUCUGAAGGUACAUCCACAUAGAAUAGCAGAAAGCUUGGAAGUAAAGAAAAGAAGGAUAUGGUACAAGACAAACAAUGAUAUGAGAAGGAUAUAAGAAGACAAGACAAACAAUGAUAAACCCACACCGUGGAAGAACUGCCGUAUACAGCUUCUGAACACCUCCCAUUUUGUCAUGUUUCAUACAUCCUGCACCCCUUAAAUAAGGGAGCUCACAGUAUGUACUGCAGCCCCAGCAAUCUGCAAAGAACUUUGAGUAAAUAAAACCAGAAAUCAAUGAGUGUAGAUGUUGACUGUAGUAGAAUUUGGUCUUCAUAUCCACACACUUUUGAUGUCUGCUUCCUCCCUUGCUUGAAAAUAAUGUAAAGUACAGACCAGAAAAGCACAGUCCAAGUAAGGAAAUAGAACUAAAUAAUAAUAAUAAUAAUAAAUCUAUGACCAGACACUUUUCA